GCUUGCUACUUUUGCCGGCGAGCGGGACACGGAUGAGUAAUGCCUGGAAAAUUGCCCAGUCGAGGGGUAUAAGCCUUGGAAACGACUGCUAAUACCGCAUACGCCCUACGGGGGAAAGCAGGGGACCUUCGGGCCUUGCGCUAUUCAACAUCCCCCGGUGUAAUUAGCUUGUUGAUGAGGUAAUGGCUCACCAAGGCGACGAUCCCUAGAUGAUCUGAGAGGAUCAUCAGCCACGCUUUAACUGAGACACGCUCCAGACUCCUACGGGAGGCAGCAGUGGGGAAUAUUGCAUAAUGGGCGAAACCCUGCUGCAGCCUUGCCGCGUGUGUGAAGAAGGCCUUCGGGUUGUAAAGCAUUUUCGGCGAGGAGGAAUGGAUGAACGUACUACGGAUCGUCUGUGACGUUACUCGCAGAAGAACACCGGCUAACUCCGUGCCAGCCGCCGCGGUAAUACGGAGGGUGCAUGCGUUAGUCGGAAUUACUGGACGUACAGCGCACGCAGGUCGUUGUAUUUGUUAGA
This 520-nucleotide ribosomal RNA is filed under the name Aeromonas sp. FPW10. Its description in RNAcentral is "bacterial SSU rRNA". It matches the Rfam family "Bacterial small subunit ribosomal RNA", at positions 78 to 592 of the family's 1533-position model. The record is from RNAcentral. Lineage: Bacteria; Pseudomonadati; Pseudomonadota; Gammaproteobacteria; Aeromonadales; Aeromonadaceae.